CGUGUGUGUGUGUGUGUGUGUGUGUGUGCGCGCGCAUGCGCACGCAUGCAUAUACACAAACACA
This 64-nucleotide microRNA precursor is filed under the name Myotis lucifugus (little brown bat). RNAcentral describes it as "miRNA (ENSMLUG00000021481.1)". Lineage: Eukaryota; Metazoa; Chordata; Mammalia; Chiroptera; Vespertilionidae. The record is from RNAcentral.